UACGGAGGGAGCUAGCGUUGUUCGGAUAUACUGGGCGUAAAGCGCACGUAGGCGGCGCAGCAAGUCAGGGGUGAAAUCCCGGAGCUCAACUCCGGAACUGCCCUUGAAACUGCAGUGCUAGAAUCCUGGAGAGGCGAGUGGAAUUCCAAGUGUAGAGGUGAAAUUCGUAGAUAUUCGGAAGAACACCAGUGGCGAAGGCGGCUCACUGGCCCGGUACUGACGCUGAGACACGAAAGCGUGGGUAGCAAACAGG
This 253-nucleotide ribosomal RNA is filed under the name uncultured bacterium. RNAcentral's name for it is "partial 16S ribosomal RNA". It matches the Rfam family "Bacterial small subunit ribosomal RNA", at positions 524 to 776 of the family's 1533-position model. The record is from RNAcentral.